GGGGGUAUAGCUCAGUUGGUAGAGCAUCGGCCUUUUAAGCCGCUGGUCCUAGGUUCGAAUCCNNCUAGGUUCGAAUCCUAGUGCCCCCACCA
Molecule: transfer RNA, 92 nt
Filed under: Woeseiaceae bacterium
Lineage: Bacteria; Pseudomonadati; Pseudomonadota; Gammaproteobacteria; Woeseiales; Woeseiaceae
Description: tRNA-Lys
Rfam family: tRNA
About the family: Transfer RNA (tRNA) molecules are approximately 80 nucleotides in length.
Source: RNAcentral